GAUGAACGCUGGCUACAGGCUUAACACAUGCAAGUCGAGGGGAAACGACGGGGAAGCUUGCUUCCCCGGGCGUCGACCGGCGCACGGGUGAGUAACGCGUAUCCAACCUGCCUCUGACUGAGGGAUAACCCGUCGAAAGUCGGCCUAAUACCUCAUGGCAUCGUCUGCGGGCAUCCAACAACGAUUAAAGAUUUCAUCGGUCAGAGAUGGGGAUGCGUCUGAUUAGCUUGUUGGCGGGGUAACGGCCCACCAAGGCGACGAUCAGUAGGGGUUCUGAGAGGAAGGUCCCCCACAUUGGAACUGAGACACGGUCCAAACUCCUACGGGAGGCAGCAGUGAGGAAUAUUGGUCAAUGGGCGAGAGCCUGAACCAGCCAAGUAGCGUGCAGGAUGACGGCCCUAUGGGUUGUAAACUGCUUUUAUGCGGGGAUAAAGUGAGGGACGUGUCCUUCAUUGCAGGUACCGCAUGAAUAAGGACCGGCUAAUUCCGUG
RNAcentral lists this ribosomal RNA (491 nucleotides) under uncultured bacterium. Its description in RNAcentral is "partial 16S ribosomal RNA". It matches the Rfam family "Bacterial small subunit ribosomal RNA", at positions 28 to 507 of the family's 1533-position model. The record is from RNAcentral.